GACCCUGAAAAUUCAGUUUUUAUAUCAGAUUCUGUAAUCAUUUUGAUCUUGCUUAUAUCAGCCCGUAACAACAAACAUUUAUACUAAAUCAACAUUUUAGUUUUGAAAAAUGAAAAGAUCAUUUAUAUUUUUUGUCUCAUUAAAUGCUACAUUUUUUUUUUAUAUAUAUUCCAUUUUAAUAGAACUCAAAUUCACAGGAUCAUAGAGGAAGAAGAUUUGUUUAUUAUCAUAAAAGAUUUCUGUAUUGUCUUAGAUAUUAGCCCAAGACAUAGCUGAGGGACAGCUUAUAAAGGGGAGGCAAGUCAUCUAAAACCAUCAUAUUUGAUCUUUAUAUGAACAAGGAUAGUAACGUUAGUAGGUAUUGAAUUACAGUACUUUAGACUGAAAUACAUGUUAACAUUAGGAUGAAUUUUAUGAACAUAAAACCAUAUUUUUUGUUCACUUUCUACAAUCCAUAGAUAAUAGUGCUGUAUAAUCUGUCUCAGUAUGUUCCACAUAUAAGUCAUGUAUACAUUUGUAAUAUAUAUAUGUCAUGUAUGUGAUCAGGUGCUGUCAUACUUUGUUUAAAUAAAUAUAUAUGUGUAAAAUUUCUGUAACCAUGACAUACAUAAAAGGUGACAAGUAUGGAAGAAAAAUGUUAUUGAUAAGUUUUUUGGGUUGUUUUUAACUUUACUUAUCAGAAAGGUUUAUUCUGAACUUCAUCUUUUUAUCAUUUGAGGUUAAAAAUACAAGAUAAUGUGUUAAUCUGAUCCAUUGAACAUUGGGUACAAGUUUGAGGUCAAAGGUUUUUACUUUUAUUGUAUGUCUUUUUAAUAUAGGGAUUCUAUAAUUUUGAACGUUUUCUUCAAAACCAUUUUAAAUAACUAUGCCAAAUGAACCAAUGAAAGCAUUCUUCCUGUUUCUUAAAAAUAGCCAUAUUAGAACAAAUUUUUAUGAAUUUUAGAUGCAUAUUUAUAUGUUGUGUACAUUUUUGACAAUGAAAAUGUUUUGAGAUGAUGAUUUAUUUUGAAAUUCUAGUCAUUUUUAUCAGUUAUAAACUGUCAACUUUUUAAAUCUUUUAAAAUGUUUUGAUUACUGUUUUACAUACAUGUGUUUUUUGUUUUGAAUAUUUUUCAGCAUUUAUAAGCAAACACUUACCUUUUACAUUUUCUAUAUAACAUUUUAAUAGUACAAUCAAAAUAUAAACUGGUUUAUUUUAUCUUUAUCUAUUUGCAUAUUAAUUAUGUUAGUGUUUUCCAUACAUUUUUUCUCAGUUAGUGAAAUUUCGAACACUUAGAAAAAAUACCUUAAUAUGGAAACACUUCAAGUCUAACGUUAGAAUUAAAUAAUGAUUUGAAUUGUCAUAUGCACUGUUUUAUUCUAGAACUGACACCAAUGGACCAAUUUUUAAAUCUUAUGGUCUCGUCAUGAAAAACUAUUAUAAUAGAAAAAUAGAAACAAAAUUGGACUGGAUGUUUUGUCCUCACAUUAAAAAGGUUUUUCACAUGGAUAGAUUAGAAAUACUAGAGAGAAUACUAACAAACUCAAAAUUAUACACACACAUACUUAGAAUCCAAUGUUAUUAAUGUGUGCAGUUUUAUGAUCAAAACUUGAAAGUUUUAAAAACCUGUAUAUGACCGUUAAAAUUUUGAUAACUCAAAAUAUGAUUUUGUUAUUGGUUCAGCUGUUUUGUUAUUUGAUUAAGACUUUUUAGCUGUAAGUGGGUAUUUUGUUUUGUUAUGGUUUAAGAUUAAUAUUUAAUGUGAAUAUUAAGAAAUGUGACAAAUACACACACUUGUAUUGAAAUUUGUUGAACUAUGGAAAUCCAAAUCUAGCUCACCUGGCUUAGAGGCCCAUAUGAGCUUGUAUGUCAUCCUUAUUUGUUAGUAAAUAAAAUUUACUCUGAAAACACUGAUAAUUAAACCCAGUUUUGAUGUGACUCAUCCUUAGGAUGUAUAUUUCUAUACAUGUUUUACCUUACAUCUAUCUAACAUAAUUAUCAUUACUGUAAAUAGAACACAACUAACACCCACGAAUAGGAAAAACUUGCAAUAAAAAAACCAUUUUUGACUGGAAUUCUGCAGAAUAUUUUCCCAUGAAGUUAAGCAUUUGAAUGGUCCAUGUGUAUAGUGAGGUCAACUGUCUAUUCAUGCUCCAUCAAACUACUCAUCAAAAAGGAUGAAAAAUCAUCAAAAUUAUGGUUUCUAGUGGUCUGCUUUAGACAAAACAUUAAUAAAAAAAAAAGUUACUUUUUUAUUGUUCUCAAGUCAACAAAUUUCAAUGUCUGACAUAGUUAUAAGUUCAGCAUGAUAUUUGAGAACCUGAACUCAACUUUUUGUCUUUUGGGUUUCAAGAGAGGUUCUACUUUUAUUUUCCAAAUUAAGUUGAAUAUUUUCCAUCUAAAUAAGUGAUUAUUGGGGUGUAAGUUUAUCAUUGAAUCAUGGAUUGUGUGCAUAUGUAUACAAAUUGUGUAUUGUGAUUGCUUAUUAUUAUAGAUAAUUCUAGGCAUUUAUUGUCGGGUUUGUAAAACCUGUAUGUCCACAGAUAGAGUGCAACUCAUUUAAUAAAUUAUGUCUCAGAUUUUGUCGGUGUUAGUCAUAUUUUACAAAUUAUUAGUCAAAGAAACGGUA
Molecule: long non-coding RNA, 2609 nt
Filed under: Mytilus galloprovincialis (Mediterranean mussel)
Lineage: Eukaryota; Metazoa; Mollusca; Bivalvia; Mytilida; Mytilidae
Source: RNAcentral